Molecule: ribosomal RNA, 773 nt
Filed under: uncultured bacterium
Lineage: Bacteria
Description: bacterial SSU rRNA
Rfam family: Bacterial small subunit ribosomal RNA
Source: RNAcentral
AGAGUUUGAUCCUGGCUCAGGACGAACGCUGGCGGCGUGCUUAACACAUGCAAGUCGAACGGAAAGGCCCUUCGGGGUACUCGAGUGGCGAACGGGUGAGUAACACGUGGGUGAUCUGCCCUGCACUCUGGGAUAAGCCUGGGAAACUGGGUCUAAUACCGGAUAGGACCGCAUGCUUCAUGGUGUGUGGUGCAAAGCUUUUGCGGUGUGGGAUGAGCCCGCGGCCUAUCAGCUUGUUGGUGGGGUAAUGGCCUACCAAGGUGACGACGGGUAGCCGGCCUGAGAGGGUGACCGGCCACACUGGGACUGAGAUACGGCCCAGACUCCUACGGGAGGCAGCAGUGGGGAAUAUUGCACAAUGGGCGCAAGCCUGAUGCAGCGACGCCGCGUGAGGGAUGACGGCCUUCGGGUUGUAAACCUCUUUCAGUAGGGACGAAGCGAAAGUGACGGUACCUACAGAAGAAGGACCGGCCAACUACGUGCCAGCAGCCGCGGUAAUACGUAGGGUCCGAGCGUUGUCCGGAAUUACUGGGCGUAAAGAGCUCGUAGGUGGUUUGUCGCGUUGUUCGUGAAAACUCACAGCUUAACUGUGGGCGUGCGGGCGAUACGGGCAGACUAGAGUACUGCAGGGGAGACUGGAAUUCCUGGUGUAGCGGUGGAAUGCGCAGAUAUCAGGAGGAACACCGGUGGCGAAGGCGGGUCUCUGGGCAGUAACUGACGCUGAGGAGCGAAAGCGUGGGUAGCGAACAGGAUUAGAUACCCUGGUAGUCCAA